UUCUGCAUUGUUUCUCGACCAAUUAGCUAAUAUUAAUCAUUUUAAAUUGAUAAAACAUACAUUUUAUGUAGCUAAUUGUAAAAUUUUAAAAGUUUGGACCAUAAAUCUAAAGUUUUAAAAGUUUAGGUUGGUUAUCUCUGCAAAUAAACGAAAGUCAGAAUAACGUUAGAACUGUCAACAAGCAGAAUACGAGUGAGGCUCAUGUUCGUUUGCUUAAUAAGCAAGUCGAGCGCGAGUUAGCUCGUUAAAUAAUCAAGUUGCAAAAUUCACAUCAUCUUCGACGACUUCUGUAUUAGCGAAUCAAACGCGAACUGCUUACGAAUAGCGAAUUAGAUUGUUAGUCCUACGUAA
RNAcentral lists this long non-coding RNA (351 nucleotides) under Ananas comosus (pineapple). RNAcentral describes it as "long non-coding RNA (ACOM_LNC018537)". Lineage: Eukaryota; Viridiplantae; Streptophyta; Magnoliopsida; Poales; Bromeliaceae. The record is from RNAcentral.